Molecule: long non-coding RNA, 3482 nt
Organism: Bubalus bubalis (water buffalo)
Lineage: Eukaryota; Metazoa; Chordata; Mammalia; Artiodactyla; Bovidae
Exons: 3
Source: RefSeq, a predicted model, not a curated record
CACAGGGAGUCAGACACAACUGAAUGACUAACCCUUUCACUUUCACUUUAGCCAGAUUUCAAAUUCUGUGAUCCGGGGAGACUCAGAGAGCCCUCAGAGAGAACCUCACGGUGACGGGAACCCUGGAGAAUGUUCCCAAAUGUCCCUAUCAUUAUCUUUAAAUGAGGGAGCUCGGCAAGCCUGAAAAAAUGUAUUCCAUCCUUAAGACACCACACACACACACGUACACAUGCAAACACAUAAUUUGUGAAACCUAGAAAAAACAAUUCUGAUUCCACCUCAAUUACUGCCUAUUUCAGGCCGAUGUGCUCUAGCUUUGCAAUGUUUUUAUAAUUGCUACACUUCUUCCAUAUCCAUUAAAUGCUGGAAAGCCCGACAGCCCUCCCCGGUCUUCGAUUAUUUUUCUUAAACUCCCAGUAGCUUUAAGCCCCAUAUCUUCCUGUUCCAGGUGGCUUCAGGGUGGAAGUGUGGGGGGUGGCUUUGUGAUUGGAAGGGGGCCCUUAUGGCAAAACCACGUAGCGUCCGUUCAUUCAUUCGCUCACUCACUCGUAAGCACUGGUGCCGUGUUGUCUACGUCUGGCACCUGCUGGCACAGCGUCCACAUAUCUGUUCCGUGUCAGCCCACACUCCCUCCUUAAGAAGCUCCAGACGGGCAGGACUCAGUCUGUUUUGCUCACUGCUGUUCCUGGUGCCCAGCACACAACAGCACACCGUAAACACGUGCUGCUUACAGCAACGAAUGAAUGGUUGAGUUCCUUCUGUGAAGUGGAGGUGAUCAUUAGCAUCAUUUCGUAGAUAAGGAAGCUGUGGCUUUGGUCACUUGCCCAGGAUUGCACAGCUGGUAAAUGGCACAGCAAAGAACACGCCACAUCUGCCUGACUUUGUUGGGGGAACCUGUGAUGGGGUCAGAAGAUGCUGUUGUAAGGACUGGCUGAAGGCUGGCCUGGCCCACAGGCAGACAGACCACGGAGCCACACAGCUGCAUUCUCUGGUUGUCCCCACUGUCCUGAAGCAUCUUGCCUGGAAAAUUCCUUGGCAGGGUCUUCAUUCCCAGAGGCACCAGAUCUGAUAGCCCGAGGCUCCUCCUGGAAUCACCGUGCUGCUCCCCACAGGUGGACCCCCAGCCGCAAGUCCUGCCUGGGGCUGGGAAGGGCCAUGCCUGCAGGAUAGGAGGAGACUCCUGGUCACCCAGGCUGCCCCAUCCUGGUCUCUGAAGAGCUCAGGACUCAGGCUUGAAGUCUUAGGAGGGUAGCGGUGACCUGGGUCAGGAAAUACUGACCGAACUGAGACAUCAACUCAAUGGGCAUGAGUUUGAGCGAACUCCGGGAGAUGGUGAAGGACAGGAAGGCCUGGCACGCUGCAGUUCAUAGGGUCACAAAGAGUUGGACACGACUGAGUGACUGAACAACAACUGAGACGCUUCUGGAGGAGAAAUGCCCAGAGCUGCAGACACGAGGUCCUCGCUCUCAGAGGAGCUCAGGCAUGGUUUUGAUACCAGCACUUUGACUCAUUUGCUCCUCCUACACAACCCUGGGGAGGGAGGGCACCAUUGUUAGUCCAAUCCUGGAGCUUGGAGAAACUCAGUGACUUGUCCAAAGUCACACAGCUGGGAAGUGCCUGAGAUGGGAUUUGAAUGCUGGUCUUGCUGGUCCCACUGGGAGGAGAGGGGGUGAGCACAGGAGAGGGUGGAGAGGUGCCCUGGGAGGUGGAGCACGUAGGAAGUCAGAGAGGACCAGGGAGAGAGUGUGGAGCAGGGCAUGAGGCAUGGGGGUGUCUGGGGGGCCGGGCCAGCAGGCUCCUGUAGACACUCACGUCUUUUGAGCACCCCUCUCCUUCCAUGUGGGGAGGCUUUGCGGGGAGCCCUGGGCAGUUUGGGUGCAAAGAUCCAAGCCAGGUAUGAGGGUGUCUUCCCCUAAGUGGCUGUGGCCCUAUUUGCUGACUUCUCAUGGUGGCUACUACCAGCUCACUUUGUGCACACCCCAGCUAGUGUUCAGCGGUCUAAGACUGAAGCUUCAGGGCCUCCGGAGUCCUGGCAUGGCUCCGGGGAUGGGCCCCUGACACACCCUUGACCCUCUCAACUCACCAUCUGGAGGGCAAUGGUGCUCUCCAGGCUCCCAUGGAGUGAAACUGGCCAGUGGAGUCCUGGGUGGGCUGCGUCCGCUCACACCUGUGUCUGCCCCAUGCUGGGCCCCGGGCUGUGAGAUAGCAGAGGCCCCUCACUCAGGGCCCCAGAAAGCUGGCAGGAGGGAACUGCCUAACAUCCUCUGUCAUCCCAAACAUGAGCUCGCCUUUCCUCUGGCUUUGCUUUCCUUCUGGAAGCGUCUUUCAUUUGUGCACUGAAAGUACAAGAAUUAAAUGGGAUUAUGGCUCCUGGCAUGGCAUCAACACCCAGAACGAUACUCCCAGGUGUGCUUUUUACUCUUUGCAAGCUAAAUGAAUGAGCCACUUGUUUAACUCGUUUUUACAUUUGGGUGUUAAAAAGACUCCAAGAUUAUAAAAUGGAUAUAAUGGUCGACAUAAAAAAACAGGUAUGGACUUUGAAAACAAAACAGCUCUAGGGUCCAUGAGAGCCUUGUUUCUGUCCCAGUGAGAGGAAUCUAUGCCUCAUCUCUGGGGGCUGGCUGGUGGCAGCUCCCGAGAGUCCCGUCCCCUCUGGGCACCACGGGGACAGCAGCCCUUCUCAGCUGGUGGGGGAAGGACAGGGCGCAACCUAUUUUCUCAAAGUGAAGGGAGAGCCAGCUGCUGCAGAGUUGUCCCGUUGCUAAGAGAAUUUUACCUACUCUGUGGACACUGACCCUCUGUCCCAUCGCCCCCACCACCAGACAGGCUGUGAGCGAUAGGAGAGAGUGAGCUGGGGACAGGGCCACUCCUUCUGGGGUGAGUGGCCUCCGUCAGCCACCGCCCUUGGCAAGCUCCUGCCUGCCUGUGGGCCAAGGUCGGGGACCAGCCAGAGGGAGGCAGGCCAGGGCGGCUGAGCUCCCAGGCACAGUGCAAAACAGACUGUGUGAAGGUGGGCAAUGUCAUCUCAGUAGCCAGACAGGGAUCUUCAUGUUCAGGAAGCUGCCCUCCUUACACUGGGACUCUGUUGGAUUCUAGAAGUGGGGCCUUUUGCACAGUGGAGCUGCCGUGAACUCAUGUACCCACCCAAAUCCUAGAGGAGUUAUAAAAAGGCCUGCCUGCUAAAAAUGACAAGACCUGGUGAUGUCUUAGUCAGCCAGGGCUGCCUUAACAAAAUACAGUAGACUUGAGGCUUAAACAACAGAACGGUUCUGGAGUCUAAAGUCCUAUAUAAAGAUAGUCGGCUUCUGGGGUUUUGGUGAGGGCUGUCUUCCUGGCCAGCAGAUGGCCACCUUCCUGAUAUGUCCUCACAUGGCCUUUCCUGGGUUGUGCAUGAAGAAGGAGAGACAGGGAGAGAGAGAGGAAGAGGGGUGAGAGAAAUGAUGGUGAGGGGGGAGAAGGAGAGAGAAAACUAUAUUCUUCCU